GCGUGGAUAAGACAUGCAAGUCGAACGAGAAACACUUGAGCUUGCUUUAGUGUUUCUAGUGGCGGACGGGUGCGUAACACGUGAGCAACCUGCCCUAAAGCGGGGGAUAGCCCACCGAAAGGUGGAUUAAUACCGCAUGUGACCUACGGGUUAAAGGUGCCUUCGGGUGCCGCUUUAGGAUGGGCUCGCGGCCUAUCAGCUUGUUGGUGAGGUAACGGCUCACCAAGGCGACGACGGGUACCUGGUCUGAGAGGACGAUCAGGCACACUGGAACUGAGACACGGUCCAGACACCUACGGGUGGCAGCAGUCGAGAAUCAUUCACAAUGGGGGAAACCCUGAUGGUACAACGCCGCGUGGAGGAUGAAGGCCCUAGGGUCGUAAACUCCUGUCAUCAAGGAGUAAGCCUUGGUCGUUAAUAGCUUCCAAGGUUGAUAGUACUUGAAGAGGAAGGGACGGCUAACUUCGUGCCAGCAGCCGCGGUAAUACGAAGGUCCCAAGCGUUGUUCGGAAUCACUGGGCGUAAAGAGUCUGUAGGCGGCGCGGAAAGUCAGAUGUGAAAUCCCAGAGCUCAACUCUGGAACUGCAUCCGAUACUCCCGUGCUAGAGUCAUGGAGGGGCAGGUGGAAUUAACGGUGUAGCAGUGAAAUGCGUGGAUAUCGUUAGGAAGACUUGUGGCGAAGGCGACCUGCUGGACAUGUACUGACGCUGAGAGACGAAGGCUAGGGGAGCGAAAGGGAUUAGAUACCCCUGUAGUCCUAGCAGUAAACGGUGCGCGCUUGGUGUGGGAGGAUUCGACCCCUUCCGUGCCGGAGCUAACGCGUUAAGCGCGCCGCCUGGGGAGUACGGUCGCAAGACUAAAACUCAAAGAAAUUGACGGGGACCCGCACAAGCGGUGGAGUAUGUGGCUUAAUUCGAUGCAACGCGAAGAACCUUACCAGGGCUUGACAUCGGCAUAGCUUGCUAUGAGGGCAUGAAAGUGCCCGAACCAGACAGGUGCUGCAUGGCUGCCGU
RNAcentral lists this ribosomal RNA (1013 nucleotides) under uncultured marine eubacterium HstpL71. RNAcentral describes it as "bacterial SSU rRNA". It matches the Rfam family "Bacterial small subunit ribosomal RNA", at positions 42 to 1055 of the family's 1533-position model. The record is from RNAcentral.